CCGUACACAAAAAUGCACAUACUGUGAGCUCGAUGAGUAGGGCGGGACACGUGGUAUCCUGUCUGAAUAUGGGGGGACCAUCCUCCAAGGCUAAAUACUCCUGACUGACCGAUAGUGAACCAGUACCGUGAGGGAAAGGCGAAAAGAACCCCGGCGAGGGGAGUGAAAAAGAACCUGAAACCGUGUACGUACAAGCAGUGGGAGCACGCUUAGGCGUGUGACUGCGUACCUUUUGUAUAAUGGGUCAGCGACUUAUAUUCUGUAGCAAGGUUAACCGAAUAGGGGAGCCGAAGGGAAACCGAGUCUUAACUGGGCGUUAAGUUGCAGGGUAUAGACCCGAAACCCGGUGAUCUAGCCAUGGGCAGGUUGAAGGUUGGGUAACACUAACUGGAGGACCGAACCGACUAAUGUUGAAAAAUUAGCGGAUGACUUGUGGCUGGGGGUGAAAGGCCAAUCAAACCGGGAGAUAGCUGGUUCUCCCCGAAAGCU
This 489-nucleotide ribosomal RNA is filed under the name Escherichia coli. Its description in RNAcentral is "partial 23S ribosomal RNA". It matches the Rfam family "Bacterial large subunit ribosomal RNA", at positions 373 to 867 of the family's 2925-position model. The record is from RNAcentral. Lineage: Bacteria; Pseudomonadati; Pseudomonadota; Gammaproteobacteria; Enterobacterales; Enterobacteriaceae.